Molecule: transfer RNA, 76 nt
Filed under: SAR202 cluster bacterium MP-NPac-SRR3961935-G1
Lineage: Bacteria; Bacillati; Chloroflexota; Dehalococcoidia
Also listed under: 3 other names
Description: tRNA-Ala
Rfam family: tRNA
About the family: Transfer RNA (tRNA) molecules are approximately 80 nucleotides in length.
Source: RNAcentral
GGGGCUGUAGCUCAUCUGGGAGAGCGCUUCAAUGGCAUUGAAGAGGCACGGGGUUCGAGUCCCCGCAGCUCCACCA